Molecule: long non-coding RNA, 626 nt
Filed under: Phoenix dactylifera (date palm)
Lineage: Eukaryota; Viridiplantae; Streptophyta; Magnoliopsida; Arecales; Arecaceae
Description: long non-coding RNA (PDAC_LNC016403)
Source: RNAcentral
AAACAAAAAUUGUCGUAAUAUACUUGAUCCCUUGGAUUUUUGUCACAAUGUCAUGGAAAGAAAAUUCAAAGUGAAGGAUAUCUAACUAUAAGUGAGUAUGCACACAAUGUAACAAUCGCUAUUUACGAAUUGAAGUAAAAGUUUUAUAAUUCACACCUUAUAUUAGGUGCUAGCUAUAUACACACAAAUUUUUGACACUUUGGAGAAUAAAUAGGUCAUCAAAUAUUUCAAUAAGCAAUUUAAUUUAAUUUAUGUAGUAUUUUUCUACUAGUGUUGGCGGGAAAAUGGACCACCCCAUAAAUAUAAUCAGAACACCCGAAUCCGACGGCAAGGCCGAGCUCAUGCAGACCGAGUUCAGGCCGAGCUUAGAAGACCGAGCUCAUGCAGGCCGACCCGAGCUCAUGCAGACCGAGCUCAGAAGGCCGAGCUCAGAAGACCGAGCUUGUCGUCCACAUGCGGCGGCCAUGCCCUGCAGCAGUCUCAUCGUACCAUGCUUGGCAUGCUGGCCACGCCACGACACAUCAACCAGGGACCAUACCCUGCUACGACUGUCAACAAUUAAUGCGCAUGGUCUCCACGGAUCUCCGGGUUACUCAAAACCUCAGGCCAUCCACGGCAACUCAUCG